This 467-nucleotide ribosomal RNA is filed under the name uncultured bacterium. RNAcentral's name for it is "partial 16S ribosomal RNA". It matches the Rfam family "Bacterial small subunit ribosomal RNA", at positions 28 to 507 of the family's 1533-position model. The record is from RNAcentral.
GACGAACGCUGGCGGCGUGCUUAACACAUGCAAGUCGAACGGAAAGGCCUCUUUCGGGGGGUACUCGAGUGGCGAACGGGUGAGUAACACGUGAGUAACCUGCCCUUGACUUUGGGAUAACUUCAGGAAACUGGGGCUAAUACCGGAUAGGAGCUCCUGCUGCAUGGGGGGGGUUGGAAAGUUUCGGCGGUUGGGGAUGGACUCGCGGCUUAUCAGCUUGUUGGUGGGGUAGUGGCUUACCAAGGCUUUGACGGGUAGCCGGCCUGAGAGGGUGACCCGGCACAUUGGGAAUGGGGUUCGGGCCAGACUCCUACGGGAGGCAGCAGUGGGGAAUAUUGCACAAUGGGUGGGAGCCUGAUGCAGCAACGCCGUGUGCGGGAUGACGGGCUUCGGGUUGUAAACCGCUUUCGCUCAUGACGAAGCUUUGUGUGACGGUAGUGGGUAAAGAAGCACCGGCUAACUACGUG